Molecule: ribosomal RNA, 383 nt
Filed under: Mesopeplum convexum
Lineage: Eukaryota; Metazoa; Mollusca; Bivalvia; Pectinida; Pectinidae
Description: partial 12S ribosomal RNA
Rfam family: Bacterial small subunit ribosomal RNA
Source: RNAcentral
GGACUUGGCGGCUCGUUAACUACCUAGGGGAAUAUGUGCCUUAAUUCGAUGAUGCCCGUUGAAUCUUACUUUACCUUGAAAAAGAACAGUUGGUGUAUUGCCGUUGUCAGCUUGUUGUUUAAGCAAAGAAAAACAGGCUUAAUGGAACUUCUAGAGGUUGGAAGGGUCCGAGAAUUCAGGUCAAAAUGCUGCUUAUGGUACAAGGGAGUGGGUGUUACAAUUUUGACUUUUAAUACGGAUCCUAGUUGUGAAAUCUUUAGGUGAAGGUGAACUUAGGAGUAAGAAGAGAUUAAUAUGCUUUUCUGAACAUGAAUCUAACUUGUGUACAAACUGCCCGUCGCUCUCGCCGGAAGGGGAGAUAAGUCGUAACAAGCGUAGGGGUA